GAUGAACGCUGGCGGCGUGCCUAAUACAUGCAAGUCGAGCGAACAGAUGAGGAGCUUGCUCCUCUGACGUUAGCGGCGGACGGGUGAGUAACACGUGGAUAACCUACCUAUCAGACUGGGAUAACUUCGGGAAACCGGAGCUAAUACCGGAUAAUAUAUUGAACCGCAUGGUUCAAUAGUGAAAGACGGUUUUGCUGUCACUUAUAGAUGGAUCCGCGCCGCAUUAGCUAGUUGGUAAGGUAACGGCUUACCAAGGGGACGAUGCGUAGCCGACCGGAUAGGGUGGUCGGCCACACUGGAACUGAGACACGCACCAGGCGCCUACGGGAGGCAGCAGUAGGGAAUCUUCCGCAAUGGGCGAAAGCCUGACGGAGCAACGCCGCGUGAGUGAUGAAGGUCUUCGGAUCGUAAAACUCUGUUAUUAGGGAAGAACAAAUGUGUAAGUAACUAUGCACGUCUUGACGGUACCUAAUCAGAAAGCCACGGCUAACUACGUG
RNAcentral lists this ribosomal RNA (497 nucleotides) under uncultured bacterium. RNAcentral describes it as "partial 16S ribosomal RNA". It matches the Rfam family "Bacterial small subunit ribosomal RNA", at positions 28 to 507 of the family's 1533-position model. The record is from RNAcentral.